UCAGUUCGGACUGGAGUCUGCAACCCGACUCCACGAAGCUGGAUUCGCUAGUAAUCGCGCAUCAGCCACGGCGCGGUGAAUACGUUCCCGGGCCUUGUACACACCGCCCGUCAAGCCAUGGGAGCCGGGGGUACCUGAAGUGCGUAACCGCGAGGAUCGCCCUAGGGUAAAGCUGGUGACUGGGGCUAAGUCGUAACAAGGUACC
RNAcentral lists this ribosomal RNA (205 nucleotides) under uncultured bacterium. Its description in RNAcentral is "partial 16S ribosomal RNA". It matches the Rfam family "Bacterial small subunit ribosomal RNA", at positions 1288 to 1500 of the family's 1533-position model. The record is from RNAcentral.